This 837-nucleotide ribosomal RNA is filed under the name Triticum aestivum (bread wheat). RNAcentral's name for it is "partial small subunit ribosomal RNA". Lineage: Eukaryota; Viridiplantae; Streptophyta; Magnoliopsida; Poales; Poaceae. The record is from RNAcentral.
AAACGUCACUCUAGACUUCGAGCACUUUCUCCUUUAACACGCGUAGUCAUUUACUUUCUGGUAGUCGGUCCCGACCAGGUUAUUAACCAGCCGCAUCGUGGCGACUUCUCGCACCCUUCUUCUAUGAAGUCCUCCUCAGUCCCUACCUUAGAAGGCUGUCACUACUUAUGCCCCUUGUACCGUGCCAUAGAGGCAUCCGUUCGCUUUGCGUACUGGUAUCUCCUCCACCCCUAGGUUUAAUACUUAGGACCUCCCCGGGCCCCGGGGCCCGUCAUGCUUGUAGUCGCGGAUGUUGACAAUCACACUUGUCCCCUCUACGCGGAUGUUGACAAUCACACUUGUCCCCUCUACGUCUGCACUUAUUACAACAUGGUGAACAAGUCCUGUUUUCUAUUGUUAACGGUCCACUACGACCAAAUGACCUACGACAAGACCUCCUCUAGUUGCGCUACGUACAAGCACGGAUUCUAUCACCAGACGGUCUAGGUGAGACUAACUCCUCCAACCCCUCUCAGAUCACAACCUUCUCAGCGACCGAGUACCGUGGUCCGUGUGUCACCAGCUCCACUGCGACGUCCUCCGGUGCCCACACUCGCGGUUUCCCGCCUAGACGCCGCGUCGACUUCGCCGCUGUCACUGUUCCCCGUCGAGCGGAGGCUGAAGGCUCGACAGCUGCCCUUCUAAUUAGGGGUCCGAGGACCAACCUUGUUCUCCAGUCACUAUUGUAAUUUAAGUCGUAAGUACCCUUGUAAAAGUCAUGUUAUAAAGGUACGAAACAUUCCAGUAUAUCAAACCAACUUAAAAACCCACUUCAUGAGGUACCGCGUUCUGCUGAAC